Molecule: ribosomal RNA, 468 nt
Filed under: uncultured bacterium
Lineage: Bacteria
Description: partial 16S ribosomal RNA
Rfam family: Bacterial small subunit ribosomal RNA
Source: RNAcentral
GACGAACGCUGGCGGCGUGCUUAACACAUGCAAGUCGAACGGAAAGGCCUUGCUCUUGUGGGGUGCUCGUGUGGCGAAAGGGUGUGAAUCACGUGUGUAACCUGUCCCUGACAGUGGGAUAACAUCAGGAAACAGGGGUGAAUAUAGGACAGGAGCUCCUGCUGCACGGUGGGGGAUGGAAAGAUUCGGCGGUUGGGGAUGGACACGUGGCCCAUCAGCUUGUUGGUGGGGUAGUGGCGUACCAGGGCUUUGACGGGUAGCCGGCCUGAGAGUGUGACCGGCCACAUUGGGACUGAGGUGCGACCAAGACGCCUACGGGAGGCAUCGGUGGAAAAUAGUGCGCGAAAGGCGGAAGCCGGAUGCAACAACGCCGCGUGCGAGAAGACGGUCUUCAGGGUGUAAACCGCUUUCGCCUGUGACGAAGCGUGAGUGACGGUAAUGGGUAAAGAAGCACCGGCUAACUACGUG